This 42087-nucleotide long non-coding RNA is filed under the name Nicotiana benthamiana. Its description in RNAcentral is "long non-coding RNA (NBEN_LNC006000)". The record is from RNAcentral. Lineage: Eukaryota; Viridiplantae; Streptophyta; Magnoliopsida; Solanales; Solanaceae.
UAUUCUCUCGUAGAUGGCGAGGAUUCGUGCUACCAGACGAGGUGAACGACUACCACUGCCACCCACUGAGGCACUAGAGGCCGCGGACGUGGUCAUAGUUGUGGCAGAGGCAAGGUAGCGAGGGUAGCACCUGUUGAUCCACCAGCCACGCCAGCUCCAAAUCAGGCUCUAGCAGAUGUACCAGUUCAAGCACCAGCAGUGCCUAAUAUGAUUCCGGGUCUACAUGAAACCUUGGCUCAAAUAUUGACAGUUUGCACUCGCUAGCUCAGGCAGUAUUAGCCAGUAUAGCAACAACUCCUUUAGAGGCCGGGGGAGACAAUUAGACCCCUGCUGCUCACACACCUGAGAAGGUGGUAUAGCUACAGACACCGGAGGCACUCCAACCUAGUCGGUUGCGCCAGCUUAGGAGUUCGUAAAGACAGUUAUGCCAAAUGAUGAGCAGCGUUGUCUUGAGAGGUUUGGUAGGCUGCAAUCUCCUUUAUUCAGUAGUUUUGAGGGCGAGGAUGCCCAUGGUUUUCUUGACAAGUGUCAGUGUAUGUUCCAGACAGUAGGAAUUCUUGAUUCUAGUGGUGUAUCAUUUACCACUUUUUAGUUUAUUGGGUCUGCCUUCACUUGGUGAGAGACAUAUGAGCGGCGCAGGCCGGUUGGUGCAGCGCCCCUUACUUGGCAGGAGUUCCACUUUCGUCUUGGAGAAAUAUGUACCAUAGUCCCGUAGGGAGGAGCUGCAUAUACAGUUUGAGUGGCUGAAGUAGGGAGAUAUGACUGUGUCUCAGUAUGAGGGGAGGUAUUCUGAGUUGGCUCGUCAUGCCCGUUGGAUGGUUCCGACUGACCGUGAGAGGAUUAGGAGAUUUGUGGAUGGUCUUAACUAUCAUUUUCGUAUUUUGAUGACUAGAGAGAGAGUAUUGGGUAUCUCCUUUGAUGAGGUGGCUGAUAUCGCUCGUGAGAUUGAGACGGCUCGCCGGCUGGAUAGAGAGGAGAGGGAGGCCAACAGGCCUCGAGGUUCUGGCAAUUUCAGUGGUGCUCCUUCGAGGGGCGAGUUCCAGCAUGGUCGAGGCCAUUCUUUCAGGCCAGCUAAGUCGACCCGUCCAGAGUAUUGUGGGGAAUCUUCAGGCCAUGGUUUUCAGGGUUCUCAACAGGGCUAGUCAUCACUCAGCGCCCUCCCAGCUCAGAGUUCAUUUCGUGCCCCAUCAGUCCAGGGUUCUUCCAUGGCAGGUCCUUCUGGUGCCAAGGGUUCCCUUUAGUCCCUAUCUCCACCACUGGGUAUUUGUAAUGAGUUCGAAAAGUUUAGGCAUAUGAGGAGGUAGUGUCCUCGACUUCAUGAUGGUCAGUAUCAACAGAGGGGUCCGCCCUCGACUUUUGCUCUAGUUACUUCACCAUCCGCCCAGCCAGUUAUGGGUAGAUGUUAGGAAGCCAGGGGUCGCCCCAGAGGUGGAUGUCGAUCAGGUGGUGGCCAGACUCAUUUCUAUGUUAUCCCACGCAGGACAUAUGCUAUUACUUCAGAUGCAGUCAUUACAGGGAAUGUUUUAGUUUGCCACAGAGAUGCCUCUGUAUUAUUUGAUUCUAGUUCCACCUAUUCAUAUGUGUCUUCAUAUUUUUCUCUUAUUUGGGUAUGCCCCGAGAGUCUCUUUCUUUACCUGUUUAUAUAUCUACCCCGGUGGGCGAUAUUAUUGUUGUGGAUAGUGUGUACCAGUUAUGUGUUGCGAUUAUUGGGGGUUUGGAGACCCGAGUUGAUCUAUUGCUAUUGGGCAUGGAUUGGUUAUCUCCGUGUCAUACUAUUCUAGACUGUUAUGCUAAGACAAUUACUUUGGUUAUGCUGGGAGUACCGAGGAUCAAGUGGCGUGGUAUUACUAAUUAUGUUCUAGCAGAGUGAUUUCUUUCUUGAAAGCACAACAUAUGGUUGGGAAGGGUCUUCUGUCAUAUCUAGCUUUGUAUGCGAGAUGUUAGAGCUGAUACUCCAAAUAUUGAUUCUGUUCUAGUUGUAAGGGAUUUUCCUGAUGUAUUUCCUGUAGACCUGCCGGGCAUGACACUGGACAGGGACAUUGAUUUUGGUAUUGACAUGGUGUCGGGCACUCAGCCCAUUUCCAUUCCCCCAUAUUACAUGGCACCAGCAGAGUUGAAAGAGUUGAAGGAGGAGCUUCAGGAACUCCUAGAUAAGGGGUUCAUUCGGCCGACUAACAGUUCUGUUUGUGAAAAAGAAGGAUGGCAAAAUGAUAGUAUGCAUUGAUUACAGACAAUUGAACAAUGUAAUAGUGAAGAACAAAUAUCCCUUGCCACGCAUUGAUCUCCAUUCGGGCUAUCACCAGUUAAAGAUCAGGGAUUCAAAUAUACCUAAGACUACUUUCAGGACUAGAUAUGGUCACUAUGAAUUUCUUGUCAUGUCUUUCGGGCUGACCAAUGCCCUAUCAGCGUUCAUGCAUUUGAUAAACAGUGUAUUUUGGCCUUAUUUGGAUUUGUUUGUGUUUGUAUUCAUUGAUGAUAUUCUGGUGUACUCGCGCAGUCAGGAGGAGCACGCAGAGCAUUUGCGACUAGUGUUGUAGAGAUGAAGGGAGGAGAAGCUAUAUGUAAAGCUCUCCAAGUGUGAGUUUUGGCUUGGUUAAGUGGCUUUCUUGGGACACGUGGUGUCCAGCGAGGGUAUUCAGGUUGAUCCAAAGAAGAUAGAUGCGGUGCAUAGUUGGUCUAGACAAUCCUCAACCACAAAGAUACAUAGAUUUCUUGGGUUGGCAGGCUAUUAUCACUGGUUUGUUCAGGAAUUUUCAUCCAUUGCAUCGACUUGACCAAGUUGACUCAAAAGGGUUCUCCAUUUGGAUGGUCGGAUGAGUGCGAGGAGAGCUUUCAGAAGCUCAAGACAACUUUGACCACAACUCCAGUGUUAGUAUUGCCAUCAACUUCAGGUUCAUAUAUCGUAUAUUGUGAUGCUUCGAGAUUUGGGAUUGGUUGUGUGUUGAUGCAGGAGGGUAGAGUUAUUGUUUAUGUUUCUCGUCAAUUGAAGCCACAUGAGAAGAACUACACUGUCUUUGAUUUAGAGUUGGUUGUCAUAGUUCAUGCAUUGAAGAUUUGGAGGCACUAUAUGUAUGGCGUGUCUUGUAAGGUAUUAACCGAUCAUCGCAGUCUUAAACAUUUGUUCAAGCAAAAUGAUCCCAAUUUGAGGCAAUAGAGGUGGCUAGAUUUGCUUAAGGAUUAUGAUAUUACUAUUAUGUAUCAUCCGGGAAAGGCCAAUAUAGUGGUUGAUGCUUUGAGUCGAAAGGCAGUGAGUAUGGGGAGUUUGACGUAUAUUCCAAUUGGAGAGAGGCCCCUUGCAGCCGAUGUUCAGGCCUUGGCCAAUUGGUUUGUGAGAUUAGAUAUUUCGGAGUCUAGCCGGGUGUUGGCUUGCGUGGUUUCUCGGUCUUCCUUAUAUGAUCGCAUCAGAGAGUGCCAUUAUGAUGAUAUGCAUUUGCUUGUCCUUAGGGACAAAUUUUAGCGUGAUGAUGCCAGAGAUGUGACCAUAGGUGAUGAUGGCGGGUUGAGGUUGCAAGGUCGUAUAUAUGUGCUCAAUGUGGAUGGGCUUAAAGAGUUGAUUCUUGAAGAGACCACAGCUCGCGGUAUUCCAUUCAUCUGGUUGUCGCGAAAAUGUAUCAGGAUUUGAGACAACACUAUUGGUGGAGAAGAAUGAAGAAAGAUAUUGUGGGAUUUGUGGCUCGGUGUCUCAACUGUCAUCAGGUGAAAUAUUAGCAUCGGAGACUGGGUGGCUUGCUUCUGCAGAUGGUUAUUCCCGAGCGGAAGUGGGAGAGAGUCACUAUGGAUUCUGUAAGUGGAAGUUCGAUUCGAUUUGGGUGAUUGUGGAUUGGCUGACCAAGUCCCUGCACUUCAUUCCGGUGUAUACUACCUAUUAUUUAGAGUGGCUAGCAGGGAUCUUUAUCCGAGAGAUUGUUCGGUUGUAUGAUGUUCCAGUGUCUAUUAUCUCAGAUAGAGGUAUUCAGUUUACUUCUCAAUUUUGGAAGAUUUUUUAGUGAGAGUUGGUACUCAGGUGGAGUUGAGCACAACGUUUCAUCCUCAGACAGAUGGGUAGUCCGAGCAUACUAUUCACAUAUUAGAGGACAUGUUGCGUGCUUGUGUUAUUGAUUUCGGAGGUUCUUGGGAUGAGUUUUUGCCGCUUGGAGAGUUUGACAACAACAACUUAUAUCCGUCCAAUAUUUAGAUGGCACCGUAUAAGGCCUUGUAUGAGAGACAGUGUAGAUCCCCAGUUGGUUGGUAUGAGCCCGGCGAGGCUAGGCUAUUGGGGACAUAUUUGGUUUAGGAUGCCUUAGAGAAAGUGAAGGUGAUUCAGGAGAGACUUCGUACAACGCAGUCGCGUCAAAAUAGUUAUGCGGACCAGAAGGAUCGAGAUGUGUCUUACAUGGUGGGUGAGAAGGUUUUGCUGAAGGUUUCGCUCAUGAAGGGUGCUAUGAGAUUUGGAAAGCAAGGGAAGUUGAGUUUGUGGUUCAUUGGACCUUUUGAGGUACUUAGGAGGAUUGGGGAGGUGACUUAUAUGCUUGCUUUGCAAUCCAGCUUAUCGAGUAUGUAUCCGGUAUUUCAUGUUUCUAUGCUCCAGAAGUAUGUUGGGGACCCGUCUCAUGUUUUGGACUUCAGCACAGUUCAGUUAGAUGGUGAUUUGACCAAUGAUAUAGAGCCAAUGGCUAUUUUGGGUCGUGAGGUUCAAAAAUUGAGAUCAAAGGAUAUAGCUUCAGUGAAAGUACAAUGGAGAGGUCGGCCCGUGGAGGAGGCUACCCGGAAGACCGAGCGUGAGAUGCAGAGCAAAUAUCCUUACCUAUUUGAGGCUUCAGGUAUAUUUCUUGACUCGCUCGAGGAUGAGCGUUUGUUUUAGUUGGGGAUGAAUUACCGCUCCAUUUCACCCAUUUUCAGCUUCUUUAUGCUUCAUUAUCGGUAUUUGGUGUGAUUGAGUCGAUUUGGUUUGGGUAGGAAAUGAGACACUUAGUCUCUUUAGUGAAAGUUUAGCUUGGAAAAGUCAACCGGAUGUUGAUUUAUGAGUUAGAGGAAUCGGAUGUGAUUUUCAGUGGUUCAGUUAGCUUCGGAGGAUGAUUUUUGACUUAGGAAUGUGAUCGGAAGUGGUUUUGAAGGUGGUGAAGAAUUAUGCUUGAAUUGGUUAAGUUAGUAUUUUGGCGAUUUCCAAUAGGGAAUGAACAUGUAAUAAUGUUAUAGAGUAAUUUGAACAUAAUUUAAGUCUUGUGAAACCAAAUAAAGGAAAAUAAGUAACAGCUCAAUAAGAACAACCGCUUUCACACCAGAUUUAUUCAAGAAUCUCCAUGAGGUACCAAACCUUAUAUUCACAAAUCACUAGUCCCCAUUCAUGAACCUUAAUCACUUGGCAUCUUGUGCCCGCAUUACAAUCCAUAACCGUACGAAUGACUUACAUGCCAAGAUAGUGACAAUAUCUAAUAUUCACACGGACCACUCACAUGCCAACAAUAAUAAUGACUCAUGACUAGCACAAACAACUCACGUGCCAAUAGAACAACUCUCCCACAGAAGGCUAGACAAAAGUACAUGUACGUGGUCAAUAAAAUCAAGAUCCAUUUUCUUAAACCGAUAUGGGUGAUUAAUUACGUGUAUGUUUGUGCAAGUGUUCUAUCAUAAUUCAAGCCAACCACUAAUAGUAAAGACAAUGAAUGUCAUAUAAGAACGAUCAUCACGAAAUGUACAAGGUAUAACUCAUGCAAAGUAGGCAUCCACUACAAUUGCAACGCCCCCAAUCCAUCACAAGUCAUCACAAAUCAUUCCCCGAAAUAGCCCUCAUUGUCUCUCUACAUCCGCAACAUUAAAGUAAAUGCCUGCCAUGUCUCGCCGCACAUGCAUAAUAAUAUUUCGACCUUGUCUUGUCAUAUGCACAAACCCACAUAUAUAACUUGUCUUGUCACGCUGCAUAUGCAAAUAUCAAUAAUAACAACACAGACAACUCACGUGCGAACAUCCUGACAGUCCUCUCAACAAUACCACGUGUGCCAAAACAUAACAACACAAUAAAAUAACUUUCACAACAUGUGCCUAUAUGCCACGAUAUUUCCUCAUAAGAGUUUUAGUAAUACAACCACCCAUAGCCCUCGUCUCAGCAACUCUGGGUAAAAUAACAACAACAACAACAAUAACAUGAGAGUACGACAAAUAAAUAAACACAAGAACUUCAGAACACAAAUAAACGGAAGUAAGAGCUCACAACGCAUGACACGACAGGAAAUAAUGGUUUUAACAAUAAUAGCUCAACAAGUGGAGAGAUAAUGUGUAAUAAUUAUUCCACAAAAAUACAACUCGACGGUAAGAGAGAUAACAUAAAUAUAUGAUUCCAAAUAAGGAUAAGUCAACAAUGAAAGGGAUAACAAAUACUUCAAUUAAAGUUAAGCAGUUACAGAAUAGAUAAUAAUAACCUCAAUUAAGAUUAAGCAGUUAUUUAAGAGAUAAUAAUAAAUUCAAUUAAGAAAAUAUAAGAACUUAAUUGGCAACAAGGAUAGAACAUGAAUCAAUUAAUUCUAGACAAGACACAUAAAGGUAAAUUUAACAAAUAGAGGAUUUAACAUGAUAAGACAGUUUCAUAUCUACUAUACAUAAGAACCCAGUAUCCCUAAAUCGUCAAAUUUACACAAAUACGCUUGAGUAUGUACUCGUCACCUUGCGUACACGGCCUUCACAUGAGACAAUUAGCACAAAUGACUCAAAUCCUAAAGGGUAGUUUCCCUACACAAAGUUAGGCAAGAUACUUACCUCAAAGAAGCUAGACCAAUACUCUAAAAUGACCUUCUUGUGUGAAACAACCUCAGGACAACUUCAUAUAAUGAAUAAUACUCAUAGGAAACAAUAUCGAAUAAUAAAUCUUCAAUAUUUAAUAAAAACUAAAAAGUCAACCCCGGGCCUGCACCUCGAAACUUGAUAAAAUUCACAAAAUCUGAGCACUCAUUUGAUAACGAGUCCAACUAUACAAGAAUUAUGCAAAUCUCCAAAAUUUAGUCUAUGAAGUUUUCACAAUUUCCCCUCAAAUUUCCAACUCUAUUCACUAAUUACAUGAUGAAAAUAACAAUGGAUUCAUGAAUCCAUGAAAAAUCAUCACUAACCAAGCUCCCCAUGUCCAAAAAUGAGAAAUGAAACCAACCCCUCGAAUAUAUGCUUCUGUCCAGGAAUUUGCACGUCACGAUCACAUAAAUACACUUGCAAUCACGAAGAAGAAACAGUGACUGCCCCAAAAAUGCACUAAGCAGUCGCGAAGAAUAAUUGACAAUGCCCCACAAAAAGCUCUACGCGAAUGCGGAGAACAAUCAAUUUGGCCUCACCACCAUGAUCCUCCACUGCGUGAUCACGAAAUAACAAAUGCUAAUGUGAUGGAGCAACUUGCACUUAGGUAAUCACGGGCAAUACUGUCACACCCAAUUUCCUCGCGAAUAAGGGUGUCGACACGUGAUAAUUCUUUUAAGUGGGUGUUAAAAGAGAAGAGUUGCUAUCUAACGAUUUCAAGAUGCGCUAAGGCACCUAUUUGCAAAUAACUCUAGUUUAACUAGGCGACACCAGCAAAUAUCGGGUAAGGGCUCAAUGAAAUGAGGGCAAGUAGUAACGCAUAAGGCAAGUAACUGCUUUAUAAUUAUCGUCUCUCAACUUAGUUAACUCGGAGGCCAACAUGAGCCCUUAUUUGCCUUAUGUGUUACUACUUGUUUAAGUUCCAAUGUGCUCCCUUCUAUGUAAUGCUGAUAAGAAUAGAAAUAGAAACUUAAAAUUUUCUUUAAGUCUAGAACCAUCACUUCGAAUAGUUCCAAAACCUCAUGGACUAUAGAAAGGAACGAGUUUGAAUUAACAUGUGAUUUAGAAUUAAUUAGUGCGCUCUUAGGUUAGCAACUUAAAAUUAAUAUUGAGGGUAAUUGGACAUGAUACAUAAAUUGCCCGAAUAACUAUUGCCCUUUUGGCUAUAAAAGUCUUAGCAGACUUUGCAUGAGAGUUGAUCAAUCAGGCUUAAAAAUUUAGGCCCCCCUUUUAUGUAACUAAGUAGAAUUUCUACAAUAUAUAAUCCUUACAUUUUUAUACAUGACUAGUUUUAACUAAUUGAUUUUAAUUUAUGUAUAUACUUGACCACUUAGGAUUAAUUGACACCUCAGCAACCUACAUCCCAGUUUAAUUCAAUAAUCCCACAUAGUCUAGAAUUCGGUCGGGAACCACAUUUGUGCACCUCGAAAAGUGCCUAAUACCCUUUCUUUGAGGUAAUUUGAGCCCUUACAUGAUCUUUGGUGACGUUGACUAGUUAAAACAAAGUUAUUUGUAAAUAGGUACCUUAACAUACCUUAAAAAUCGUUAGGUGGCAACUCUUUUUUUUAGUACCCGUUUAAAAGAGUUAUCACGUGUCGAAACCCGUAUUCGUGAAAAAAUGGGGCGAGACAAAUACCAAGCGAACGCGGAUAAGGAAAUAUGACUUGUCACCAAACAACAUUCACGAUCGCGAUGAAACCUUCAUGAUCACAAAGAAGAAUAUCAAACACCAGCAACAAUAUUCCAAAAUAGGAGGAAAUGGCCGGUAGCCCAGUCGAAACACACCCGAGGCUCCCUGGGAUCACGUCGAAACAUACCGAAAAGUUCCAUAAUGUAACGUGGACCUGCUCGAGGCCUCAAAUCACAUCAAACAAUGUAGAAACUACGAGUCGCUUAUCAAUCAAACUUAUGAAUUUCCAAACCUUCCAACUUCUAAAAUUCGUGCCGAAACAUAUCAAAUCAACCCAUAAAUGACGUCAAAUUUUGCAUGCAAGUAUCAAAAUGACAUGUUGAAGUGCAAAAUAGGUAUAAUCUUUAUAUCAACAACAACUCAGUAAAAUUUCACCAAUGGGGUUUGAGAAGGGUAGAAUGUACGCAGACCUUACCCUUACCCAGGAGGGGAUAGAGAGGUUGUUUUCAGGAGAUCCUCGGCUCAAAGAUAAUAGAUAUGUGAUAAUAAAACCAAAAAAAUAAUACCAGCAACGUGAGAGACAACAAAUAAAUUGAAAAGUAGCAACACAAAUAUUAUGCAAUAAUGUGAAAUACAACAUAAAUUGUUAGCAGAGCUAGACAAAACACUAUCAUACUCAUCGGCACAAAGAGGAAAACCGGGAUAGAGGGGAAAACCGCUCGACUACCCUUAACCUACAACCCUAAUGCUCGACCUCUACACAUUCCUAUCAAAAGCUAUGUCCUCGAAAAUCUGGAGCCGCACCAUGUCCUAUAUAAUCACCUCGUCCCAAUACUUCUUAGGCCGCCCUCUACCUCUUCCCGUACCUACCAAAACCAACCGCUCAUACCUCCUAACGGGGCAUUUAGGCUUAUUCUCUGCACGUGUCCGAACCAUCCAAGUUGCGCUUCCCACAUCUUGUCGUCCACUAGAGCCAUGCACAUCCUCUCCCGAAUAUCUUCAUUCCUAAUCUUAUCCAGCCUAGUGUGCCCACACAUCUAUCUCAAUAUUCUUAUUUUUGCUACUUUGAUCUUUUGGAUAUGUAAAUUUUUGACUAGCCAAUACUCAACCCAAUACAAUAUGGCCAGGCUAACCACCGCUCUAUAAAACUUACCUUUGAGUUUCUGUGGCACACUCUUGAUACACAAGACUCCAUACGUUUGCAUAACACCCCCGUCGAUCUCCCCAUCACCCUGGAUAAUUGACCUUAAGUACUUAAAACUUUCUCUCUUGAGGAUGACCUGUGAGUGAAGCCUGACUUCCGCAUCAUCUUUCCCCGCCACGUCUCUGAAUUUACAUUCCACAUAUUCCAUCUUAGUCCUACUUAACUUGAAACAUUUAGACUUCAGGGCCUGCCUCAAUAUCUCCAGUAUCCCAUUAACGUUGUAUCGCGUCUCAUCAAUCAGAACUAUAUCAUCAGCGAACAACAUACACCAUGACACAUCUCCUUGGAUACGGUGUGUCAGUGCAUCCAGCGCCAUGGCAAAUAAGAAUGGGCUGAGCGCAGAUCCUUGGUGUAACCCCAUAACCACUGGAAAAAGCUCCGAGUCACCUGCCACAAUCCUAACCGGAGUCAUAGCUCCAUCAUACAUAUCCUUUAUUGCUCUUAUAUAAGCCACCGACACACCUUUCACCUUUAUACAUCUCCAAAGGAUGUCCUUGAGGACCUUGUCAUACGCCAUCUCUAGGUCAAUAAACACCAUAUGCAAAUCCGUCUUCCUAUCCCUGUAUUGUUCUAUCAACCUCCUGAUAAGGUGGAUAGCUUUCGUAGAAGAACGCUCCGGCAUGAAUCCAAACUAAUUUUUCUGUAUAGACACCGCCCUCCCUGUCCUCCCUUCCACCACCCUCUCCUAAACUUUCAUGGUAUGACUUGGUAACUUGAUACCCCUAUAGUUGUUAUAAUUAUAUAUAUUACCUUUGUUCUUGUACACCGAAACCAUUAUACUCCACCACCACUCAUCAAACAUCCUUUUCGUUCUGAAGAUAACAUCAAACAACCGAAUCAGCCACUCCAAGCAUGCUCUACCCUUUAUGUGAUGUUUCUAAAUAAAAGAAGACAUAAACUUUAAGUACCCGUAUGUGCAUUUAGCCUAUUACAAAAACAUAUUUACCAUUCAAUACGGAAUAAAGUAGAACAAGUAAUACGUGCAUUAUCAAUAUUUGAUAAAAUAUUUAAAGAUAAAAUUGUCUUCCCAACAGGUACUUCCUAAAGAAACGAUUCCUACUAUAUAACAAUCAAUGCAUUAUUUAAUUUUUUAUAUAAAGACUUCAUAUUAUUAACCACUUAUAAAUAAUUUAUGCAUUAUAAUCUCUUUGUAACCCACAAACCAAAUGCUUUUCAUAGAUCGUAGUAUAAAAAAGAUAAACAUAAUCCUGAGAUUGCUAAUUUUUUUUCUUUUUCUGGUUAAGAUUGCUAAUUUUGAAAUUAAAAUUCUACCAAUAAAUCUCAUAUUUUAUCUCAUAUUUUAAAAUUAUAAUACCAUGUCCUUGUUACACGAACAUGGUUAUGAAGUAUGUAUUUGGCCUAAAAUAAAAUUCUUUUGAAGCAUGGGUGGAAAUACGAAACUUUUCAGAAUUUAAAGGGGAGGCAAGCACAACUAAUGAAACUAGAAGUCUCUGAACGUAAUUCAUAGAAAAAUAUAUGAAUGUGUAAAGUUACCAACCUUUAAAGGCUUAGAACAGGUAGGUAGGGUUUAGGGUUUUGGAAAGAAGACCAAACUCGCAAAAUAAAAACAAAAACGCAAUCAAUUCGCCUAAAUCACUCUUCUUCUUUUAGCAGAGGAGAGCACUCAAGAUGAUUACGGGUGGAAGAAACUUGGUUUCCUCACAACCUGCAUUUUCAAACGACGCAAAGAAACUUCUCGUAUGCACAGGAAAUACCGUUUCUGUUUUCAGCACCUCCACUGGCUUACAGGUUCGUUCACUUUAUUCGGCAGCAAAAAAAUGCGUUGUUUAAGGUAUUGUAAGUUGUUAAAUUAUUUUUAUUUUACAGAUUGCUGAAUUAGAAGGUCAUAAGGCAUUAGUAACUUCGGUGGUUGUAGUACCGUCUACUACUCCAGCAGGCAAAAUAUUGUGCUACUGUUGGACAGCGUCACAUGAUGGUACCAUCAAAUAUUGGGACUUUUCGGUGCCGGAGCUGAUGAAAAGUAUUGAUGCUCAGUUCCCCAUUUACUCUAUGGUAACAGCUUCUCAUUCACAUGAUGGUACCAUCAAAUUUUGGGACUUUUCAGUGCCGGAGCUGAUGAAAAGUAUUGAUGUCCAGUUCCCCAUUUACUCUAUGGUAACAGCUUCUCACUCUAAGAGUACUAUUUAAAGAUUGAUUAAGGAAGUGCUUUGCAGGUUUUGUGGCAUAAUCACUAGUGUUUUGCAUCAAAAUUAUGCUUACGUGGUCACUUUGGCAUUUGUAAGUUAUAUAGUUACGUCAAGUCAUAUGACUCUGCAUCCGGCCAAUUUCAGUGCUAAAGUUGAGAAUCUUCUGAAGAACAUGUUGAUUUUACUAUCCAAUAUGAAAAUAAAAAUAAAAAAUGAACUUACAAGGAGAAAAUGGAUUGUUCGCGAAGCAAAGGAUCUAGCAUCAGGUAAUUCAGGUGCCAGUGGUGUUCUAAUUUGCUAAAUAAAUGCUAUGCCGAUGCUUGAGAGUUUCUGGAAUAAUAUUUAGGCAAGCACACAAAGUAUUUAAAUGGGACAAAGUUAGGAGUAGUUGGCUGUGAGUGUGUUUGCUACUAGAGGAAAUCGUAGGUUCCUAGAGACCAGGAAUGUGUAAUUUUUCAGUCAAUCCUGGAAAAGCUCAUGAAAAGCAUAAUACACGAACAAAAUGACAAUCCUUCAUGAUGAGGCCUUUGCUGUUGCUUUAUUUUGGUUGUUUACUACUGCUCAGGUCUAGUAAUGUCUCUUUAUCGGGCUUCGUUGUGCUAGUGUUCCGCAUAUCUAUCUGAUCAUCCCUCUGUCAUCUUUAUCAGGUGAUUCCAGGUUUAUUAUCCCAACAUGCAGCGAGUAGCGAAAAGCCUUCUGAUCUUUUUGCAUAUGUAUCUACCACAGCCUUCAAAGAACAGCAAGGAGGGGGUAAUGCUUUAUGCUGGCAGAUAAGGAAGUGUAACUUAACCAAGUCUACUUUGGUUGGUGGAGUGGCUUUAGCGGAGGUAUGAAAAAUGUAUGCCAUGCUUUCUUUUAUCCAGGAAGAAAAAUUAUAUGUUCAUUGUUGGAAUUUGUGCACUAAGAAUCUAAAGAUGGUUCCUUAUAAGCAAUAGGAUGGUUUUACUUUGAACUGUGCCAAAUUGGAUUGUCCCAAAUAGAAAAUCUGAUGUGAAUAUAUUCUGGAAUGUGUCAAAUCAGAAUAUCCCAAAUUGAAAUCUGUUGUGAAUAUAUUUCCGCAACUCGGUGAAGAUUGUCUCGAAUUCUGGUCAGUCAUAAUGCUGUGUCCAUUUUCCUCAAAGGGAAGUUUGAAUGUGUUUCAUAACACAUAAAGGUUAUGUCAGUUUUAAUUCCUCUCAAUAUAACCUCUUUUUCCAUUUAGUUUUUAAAAAGGAUUUCUCAUGUUUUCCCAACAAACAGUAAAUACUUACUUUUUCAGUCCUUCUGUUGUUUUCUGUGCCAAGUCAAACUACGGCUCUUAAUUUGGGAUAGAGGAAUUAAAGAUUUCUCAUUCGACAGUCUGGUGCAAGUGUUUUGUCUCUUUUUCUCGCAUGCAAGUUUAUUUUAGCUGCAGACGCUCAGCAUGAUUAACUAUGCAAACGAUAGUAAGUUGCUGUAGACAUUGUUUGUUGUCCUCAUUUUGUUCUUUGUUUCUCUGAUUGCUUUUAUUAGUUUUGGGCCAGAAAGAGUUUGGGUAUCUGGAUUGGGUAUAUGUGAUGCGAGGUAAAAUGGCACCUUAGAAUGCAUAACGUGGUAGCAGCUGUUACUGAUAUUGAUAGGUGAUAUCAGCUGUUACCGUAAACUAUAGAAUGUGUAUACAUCAUGGUAUGGUAGUAUAGGUUGUAGCUUAGUGUUAGAUAUAUAGUCUUGUCCCACAUUGGAAUAGGAGUAGAAUAUCCUUGUAUAGUAUGGCUAUAAAUAAGGACCUCUUGUAUAGUAUUGAACACAGAAUAUAUUAAUACAUAUCAUAUUUUCUCCCGUGCCUUCUCACAUGGUAUCAGAGCUAUCGUGAGAGAUUUAUCGCUGUGCAUAAAUUCCAGCAAUUCCGGAAAGUGAAACCAGUCACAAGAACCUUUUUCCGUCGACUUUCUAAGUUGUUUUGCGUCUGUUUUGUCUCUGUCGGUGUUGUGUAAAAAAUCCAACACUGCCAUAAGAGUAGUCACUAUCCGGCGACCAAACCCUAAUGAAAAUAUCCGGCGGUAUUGUAGCUGUCCGAAGAAAAUUUUCCGGCGAAGUUCCGACGUUGCAUGGCCACCUUCCGGCCAUUUUUUGGCGACAACUCUUCAGGAUAUUUUGUUUCCCUUGCAAUUCCGAGCCUACACAUCCAUGUUACACCAAAUUCCGACCACUUUUAUAUUUUUCCUGCAUGAAUAGUGAUUUCAAAAGUGGACUUCCAGCCACUUUUUGAAAAAGUUCCUGCCUAACAGUUGGGUCAUCUGUUAAUUCGGAUCCUACUCCUACUGUUUUUAUUUCAUUCCGACAGCUUUGAAUUUUUUCCGACCGCUAUAGUAAUAUUCCGAGAGCUACAGUAUUUUUGAAGUGAACAAUAUUUUUCAGUGCAGAUCAAUGUUAUAUUUUCGUGCUAUAAACAGUAUUUUCUCAGCGAUUUCUUUAGUUUUUUCAAAAGAGUUACUAAUUUUCACUAUUUCAAGUUAACCUACUACUCUUAAUUGUAGCGACAUGGGAACUGAUGCUUCAAAUAGUCGGAUAGUUUCUUUAGUGGAUUAUUUUGAGUUUCUUCAGUACAAAGCAGGUAAGGAGACAUCUUCUGAGAUAGCUUCCGUUGUUCAGACAGGUAAUAGCAUGACUUGUGUCUCUCAAUCUUCAUCCUCUGAGCUUGGGUCAUUGACUCAAGUGCAUCGGAUCAUAUUUCUGGUAACAAAUUUCUCUUCACUACUAUUUCGUAUUCUCAAUCUCUUCCAAGAGUCACAAUGGCCAAUGGGUCUCAAACCAUGGCAACUGCAAUAGGUCAAUCAUACCCAAUUCCUUCCUUACCUUUAGAUUCAGUUCUUUAUGUCCCUAAUUGUCCUUUUAAUCUCAUAGUUGUUAGUCGCCUAGCCAAAUCACUUAAAUGUGCCGUUCUAUUUCUUGAUGACCAUGUUUUUAUAUAGGAACGUAGUACAGAGCGGAUCAUUGGUACCGGGCGUGGAUCAAAUGGACUUUAUUACCUUAUACUCGCUAAAUCACAUGGACUCACGUCUUGUCUUCCUUCAACAACUUGUCAUGUUACCGAUUCACCAGAUUUAUUACAUAAACGGUUGCUUGUCUUCCUUCAACAACUUGUCAUGUUACCGAUUCACCAGAUUUAUUACAUAAAAGGUUGGGACAUCCUAGUUUAUCAAAACUUCAGAAAACGGUACCUGGUUUAUCUCACUUGUCAUCUCUAGAGUGUGAGUCUUGUCAGCUCGGUAAGCAUACUCGCUCUCAUUUUCCUCGACAUAUUGAUAAUCGAUCAGAGUCGCCUUUUACUUUAGUCCAUUUAGAUGUUUGGGGUCCUAGUCGGGUCAGUUUUACCUUAGGAUUCCGUUACUUUGUUAGUUUCAUUGAUGACUAUUCUAGUUGCACCUCGAUAUUUUUGAUAAAAAAUUGAUUUGAGUUGUUUUCUAUAUUUCAGACCUUUCACGCUAAAAUUCAAAAUCAAUUUGGGGUUUCUAUUCGCACAUUUCGUAGUGAUAAUGCUUGCGAGUAUUUGUCUUUCCCAUUUCAGCAGUUUAUGAAAUCUCAUGGGAUUAUUCAUCAAACAUCUUGUUAGUACACAUCUCAACAAAAUGGGGUAGCUGAAAGAAAGAAUAGACAUUUUAUUGAAACUGCUCGUACCCUACUCAUACAAUCAUGCUCCGUUGCGUUUUUGGGGGAUGCAGUUCUUACAUCUUGCUAUCUUAUUAAUCAUAUUCCAUCUUUAGCUAUCCAGAACCAAGUUCCAUUCUCUGUUAUGUUUCCUCGCUUACCUUUUUUCUCUUCCACCUCGUGUCUUUGAAAGCACUUGUUUUGUCCAUAACCUUACUCCAGGAACAGAUAAGUUAGCUCCCCAUGCUCUUAAGUGCGUAUUUCUUGGUUUCUCGAGAACACAAUAGGGGUAUCGAUGUUAUUCUCCUGACCUCCAACUGUACCUUAUGUCUGCUGAUGUUAUUUUCUUUGAAACCCAAUCAUACUUCACAGGUCAGGUAAUCACUUAGAUAUUUUUGAGGUACUACCGGUCCCUUCUUUUGGAGAUUCAGUCCCAUCCAUCUUCCUCUACAUCUCCGGCUCCACCACCUAUAGCUCUCGUUCCACCAUCUAUAGCUCCAGGUCCAAUUACUCCACAUAAUCCAGUUCAACCUUUUGCAGCUCCGUCACUCUUGACUUAUCAUCGCAUCCACAUCCAGCAUCACACCCAGGUGAUUCACGUCCUGCAUCAGAUUCUGCACCUACUGCGGACGUGUCUCCUCUUAGUCAACCAAUUGCACUCCGCAAAACGGUCCACACUUAAUCCUAAUCCCCACUAUGUUGGUCUAAGUAAUCAUCGCCUGUCGUCCGCGAUUCACGUCUUGCAUCAGAUUCUGCACCUAUUGCUGACUUGUCUCCUCUUAGUCAACCAAUUGCACUCCGCAAAGGUGUAUGGUCCACACUUAAUCCUAAUCCCCACUAUGUUGGUCUAAGUUAUCAUCGUCUGUCGUCACCUCAUAUUGCUUUUAUAUCUUCUUUGUCCACUGUUUCUAUUCCUAAGUCUACAGGUGAGGCACUAUUUCAUCCUGGAUGGCGACAUGCUAUGAUUGACGAGAUGUCUGCUUUACAUGCAAGUGAAACUUGGGAGCUUGUUCCUCUUUCUGCAGGUAAGUCUAGUGUUGGUUGUCGUUGGGUUUAUGCAGUCAAAGUCGGCCCGGAUGGCCAGGUUGAUCGGCUUAAGGCUCGUCUUGUUGCAAAAUGAUAUACUCAGAUUUUUGGGCUUGAUUAUAGUGGUACUUUCUCUCCCGUGGCUAAAGUAGCAUCUGUUCGUCUUUUUUUGUCCAUAGCUGCUGUACGUCAUUGGCCUCUUUAUCAGUUAGACAUUAAGAAUGCUUUUCUCCACGGUGAUCUUGACGAGAAAGUUUAUAUGGAGCAACCACCUGAUUUUGUUGCUCAGGGGGAGUCUAGUGGUUGUGUAUGCAGAUUGCGCAGGUCACUGUAUGGUUUGGAAGUCCCCUCGAGCAUGGUUUGGUAAGUUCAGCACAAUUAUUCAGGAGUUCUGCAUGACUCGGGAAGUUUAUAUGGAGCAACCAUCUGGUUUUGUUGCUCAGGGGGUGUAUGCAGAUUGCGCAUGUCACUAUAUGGUUUGAAACAGUCCCCUCGAGCAUGGUUUGAUAAGUUCAGCACAAUUAUUCAGCUGUUCGGCAUGACUUAUAGAGGCUGAUCACUCUGUGUUUUAUCAACAUUCUGCUCCGAAUCUGUGUAUUUAUCUGGUGGUUUAUGUUGAUGAUAUUGUUAUUACUGGCAACGAUCAGGAUAGUAUUACUAAUUUGAAGCAACAUCUCUUUCAGCACUUCCAAACUAAGGAUAUUGUUAUUACUGGCAACGAUCAGGAUGGUAUUACUAAUCUGAAGCAACAUGUCUUUCAACACUUCCAAACUAAGGAUUUGGGCAGACUGAAUUUUUUUAAAGGUAUUGAGGUUGCUCAGUCUAGCUUAGGUAUUGUUAUUUCACAGCGGAAGUAUGCCUUAGACAUUCUUGAGGAGACUGGAAUGAUGAUUUGCAGACCUAUUGACUCUCCUAUGGAUCCGAAUGCCAAGCUUCUGCCUGGACAGGGGAGCCUCUUAGAGACCCUACGAGAUAUAGGAGGUUGGUUGGAAAAUUGAAUUACCUCACAGUGACUAGAUCUGACAUUUCUUUUCUGGUGAGUGUUGUAAGUCGGUUUAUGGAUUCUCCCUGUGACUAUCACACUGGGAUACAGUUGUUCGUAUUCCUCGAUAUAUAAAGUCAGCUCCAGGCAAAGGAUUACUAUUCGAGGAUCGAGGCCAUGAGCAGAUUGUUGGGUACACAGAUGCUGAUUGGGCUGGAUCACCUUCUGAUAGACGAUCUACAUCUGGAUAUUGUAUUCUAGUAGGAGGUAAUUUGGUCUCGUGGAAGAGCAAGAAAAAAAAUAUAAUUGCUCGAUCUAGCGCCGAAACGGAAUAUCAGGCCAUGGCUAUGGCAACGUGUGAGGUAUUUUGGGUCAAGCAGUUGCUCAAGGAGUUAAAGUUCGGGGAAAUCAGCAGGAUGGAACUAGUGUGUGAUAACCAAACCCCCCUUCAUAUUGCGUCAAAUCCGGUGUUCCAUAAGAGGACUAAACACAUUGAGAUCGUCUGUCACUUUGUCAGCCGCUCUUCAUAUUGCGUCAAAUCCGGUGUUUCAUGAGAGGACUAAACACAUUGAGAUCGACUGUCACUUUAUCAGAGAAAAAAUACUUUUAGGAGAUUGUUACAAAGUUUGUAAAGUCGAAUGAUCAACUAGCAGAUAUUUUCACUAAGUCUCUUACUUGUUCUCAUAGUAGUUACAUAAGUAACAAGCUCGGUACAUAUGAUGUAUAUGCACCGGCUUGAGGGGGAGUGUUAGAUAUGUAGUCUUGUCCCAUAUUGGAAUAUGAGUAGAAUAUCUUUGUAUAGUAUAGCUAUAAAUAAGGACCUCUUGUAUUGUAUUGAACACACAAUAUAUUAAUACAUAUCAUAUUUUCUUCCGUGCCUUCUCACACUUAGAUUUGGUAUCCAGAGGUAUUCUUGCAAUAAUUCUGUUUUUAAUGUACUCACGAUUCUUAUCCACUUCUAUCAUGUUGUCCCGUCAUCAUUUGCUGUCUGCUAAAUGAUGUCCAAAAGUUUAGCAAUCGGAAUCUUGUGUACUGGCAGUACGAGUUCAUGGUCUCUAAAGCAUAAAAUUUACACCAGCAUACCUCCCAAGGGAAAAAGAAAAAAAGGACUUAGUAUUGGGUAGCUUCUUGUAGUUGCCAUACUCAAAUCUAGUUCAUUAAAAGUAUCGGACUCAGAUAUCUCAGAACCUUGUAUAUCAUUGUAGUUUUAAAACUAUCAGGUUUGUUAAUAAAGAAAUUAAAUGCUAAUUUCCAUUGCUACUUGUUAUCCAUCUCAUAGAUUUAUGUUAUUAAGCAUAAGUUAAUUUGGCAGAGAUAUGACCAUGUCUGACAUUGACAAUUCAUAGAUUUUCAAGAUUGAUGUUAAUGAUGUCUGAAGAACUGAAUUAUGACAAUCACCUGUAGAUUCUCUUUCAUUUCCCAAAAUUUCCUGUUGUAUUUCAAUGUAAUUCUUAGUCCAUUUUAUCAUCUUCCCUUGUCAUCUGCCCAGGUGUUGUAUGUGAAAAUGCCCUAGGUUGUUCUGUCUAAAAGAUUGCAGUGAGAGGCAUGGUGCUAUUUCGGAAAGCGUGCAUUAAGUUUAGCUAACUCAUAGGAAUCUGGGAGAACAAAUCUUUUUUAGUUAAAGCAUUAUGAAGUUACCUGUUUCUAUAUUUAUGUAUCAGAUACCAUCACGAGUAAAAUGUUAUCUAGCUUAUAAAAAACAUAUCACACAAGCUAAUGCUAACAAUUUUUGCAAGUGUCAUGUGGCACAAAAUAAGUGGUUUCAUGUCGAGCUCUUUCUAGCUAGUGUAGGUCUUGAUUUAUCUUUUGCUUCUAGAGAGUCCGUACCAUCAGUCACUGACUGUAAGCUUUCUUGCUUUACACUAGAUUAUCUUCUUCCUUGAAAGAUUGACGAUCUUUCACAUCAUUGUUUUUUCCACAGUCAAAUACUUACCCUUAUCGUAUUUUACAAAGUAAACCUACAAUGGCAUUUUUGCAUGUGAUUGAGAAUGAUCAAAGUUUAUAAUUUCUCUCAGAGUCAAGACGCACAAUCUAUAACACUUAGCUCCUCUGGAAGAUACAUGGGCAUAUGUGACAAGCGCAAGCUUCGCAUAUGGGAAAUACCAGCAAAAGAUUCUGAUCAAGCAGUGGUUCAGAAAAUCAGGUUACAUCAUACGAAAACCAUGAGCACUCUAGCUUUUCAUCCAACAGAGAGGAUUGUUGCAGCUGGAGAUGUAACAGGAAGGAUCUUAAUAUGGAGGGGUGUUGGGGAGCAGAAUUUACCAUCUGGUAAUAAACAGAGAAAUGGAGGACUAAUGAAGGAUGUGGAGGAAAGGCCUGGAGUUAGGGGAAACGAUGAUGCUGAUUCUUGUACCACAAGGCAUUGGCAUUCUGCAGAAGUGAAAGUCCUCUUUUUUUCUUCUGAUGGUGCCUAUGUGUACUCAGGUAUAAAGUAAAUAUGAGCAGCGUUGUUGGUUGUGUAAAGACGAGUUUAAAACCUUGUACUGAUGUGGAUUUUCACACGCAUAACUUAUUGCAUUGAAACAUCAUAGAAAGUGGGAACUUUUUAGGCACAUCUCUUUUAUUUACUUGGAAUUUAGACUACAACAUGAAUUAUAUCAAUUUGAUGUUUACUUAAAUUUAACGACUUUUUAACUUGAUCCAGGUGGGAAGGAAGGAGUUCUUGUGGUUUGGCAGUUAGACACCGGGAAGCAGAAAUUUCUCCCACGAAUAGGAUCCCCCCUUUUGUAUUUUACCAUGUCAUCUGAUCAUUCUCUGUCCUCUGUAAGCAUAUUUGUCUAUAGAGUAAAGGUAGUUGCUACUGGAUUUUGUUCUUACUUAGUAAGUUUGUCCAGAUAUCUUGUGCAGAUAACCGAAUCCACCUUCUCAAAAUGCCUUCGAUGGAGGUAUUGAGAUCCAUUCAAGGAAUCAAGGUUUGUUCUUCUCUCUCUGAGGCAAAACACUGUUCGAAAAGAUUAAGAGUGGAGAAAACACUUCAUGCCUGUCAUCAUUUCGCUAGGACAUUGUUCUGUUAUUGUAAUACUUAUCAAGGGAAAAAGAUCCAGGUUCAUUCAUGCUGUUUAUAUAUAAGAUGAGCAUCAGAUAGUAAGAAAAUUGGAUAAGAAAGCUUCGGCGUGUUGUUUCCAAGCACUAGAACAAACAGCCAUACCUGUUACUUUCAGCUCACAUAUUCCUUUUAGAUUCGUACGUAUUUUCUUUAUAUGGUCUUUCUGUAGAUUGGUUAUCAUAACUAUGAACCAUAUUUAUAUGAGCAAUGCUGUUGUUGUGGUGGUUGGAGGAUCCUCUUUGCGCAUGUACUAUAAUGUCUUUGCUUGGAGUGUUUGGUUAAUCCAUUCAAAACACUCAUCUCCAUCUUACCUGAUAUUUUGAUAUAGUAUAUUAAAAUUUGCCCUUUGGGAGUCCUUACAGCUUUAAUUUGCAGCUUCGUAGCACACUCCUGGACACGUUUGAUGGCUCAUCUGAAGGAAUUGUUGUUAACUCUGCUACCGGGAUAGCUGCCAUACGUUCAGAAAAUUACUGUGUCCAGUUUUAUAGCUUGUUUGAUGACCGUGAGGUUUCUGAGGUAAGUGCAUUGAAAAUAAGCGGCAUGUGUUGAUGUAUUCUUUUCCAUUUAGCACUAAACUUCCCCAAUUAACACCCACCAUCACAAGAAAGAAGAAAAAAUUGGAUAAGGAAAAAGAACUUGGAACCUAAUUUUGUUUUACCCUCUUUUCAGUUGCACACCUUUCUGUGGUUCUAUCUUUUUGUUUCGGUCAGUUUACAUGGUUGCGUCCCUGGAGUAUUAGCCUUUCACUUUGAUUCAUAGAGAGGGGUUCACCUUUUCUUGCCCUUAAUUUUUUGUAGGUUUUCUGGACAUCUGUUGUUCCCACCUUUAUGAUUAGGAGCUAUGCAUUCUUAUUUUACAGGCAAGCUUUAGAUAUACUCAAGUGUUAGUGAGGGAGGAGGGGGAGGGGAAUUAUGGAAGAGCAAACAUUUAAACACGUAGAUGUACUUUUGGCAAGCAGUUCUCAUCUUUCAGUAAUGCUUGAAGUAUGCACUCUUUUUACUAGAGUUGGCUGUUGAUUUUGCUUAAUCUGUCCAUUUGUAGGUUCAAGUUUGUGAAAGAAGCCACCAACCAGCUGAUGAAGUCACGGUAUAGAAUUUUUUUCCUGGCUGAUCUUCAUAUUUAGUUGUGAAAUCCUGAACAGCUAUAUCCUGGUAUUUGGAUCAGUAUUUUAAUUUUCGAUAUGCUUUUUUUGUGUGUGUGUGUGUGAGAGAGAGAAUGAAUGAAUAAAAGUUCGUCUUCUGUAUGUUCGACUAGUCCACUUCAACUACAUAAAUUCGUACACCUAGAAUUAAAUAACUUAAGAAAUUGAUUCAGCUUGUCUAUUGCCUCGUAUCAUGUGCUUUUGCACCAAGUUUCAUGCCAAAAAUUGGAAAUGGAACCUAAUAUGACACUAAUGAAUGUAGGUGCACGUGUGGUCCUUCGAGAUGUUUGAAAACUGAUAUGUGAUAAGAAAUAACAGUGUCUUUCAGUCUGUGUAAGAGCCCAUGCAUCACCUUAGUUUCCCAGAUUUCGAGCGCAAGUUUGGGGCAGAAAGUAUUUUUUUAAUCCAGGAAGUGUAUUUCAUUAUAUAGUACCAAGAAGGUACUGCAACAUGUCAAGAAUGCUAGUUACAGUCUCACAACUACCUCUCUAAAUUCAUAUACUACAAAAUUUCAACAAAAUCCAUAUAAUCUAGGCUACCCUUGAGCCAAAAAUAAAGAUUCUGUAAGCAUCUGUUCUUUACAAAAAAAUAUGCUGUUUUUUCCCUUCAAAACAUCUUUUAUUUCUCUCUAACCAGGUAGUCCACAAAAAUGCAUAAUGGACAAUUCUUUUCCAGAUCUUCUUCUUCUUCUUCUUUCUUCCCACUUUCUGUCCCUUCCAGCAUCGUCGUAAAUACUUCACACUAUGGGGCAGAAACUAAACUCAAUAAGGCUAGAAGUUCAAGAGCUCAGACCAGAAUGUGGAUUUUCCCUUUUGUGUAUCGGCUAUCAAAAACUUUUUUCUCCAACAAAUAUUCCUAGGAAAAGUGAAGAAUGAAAAAAACUUGGCCAAAAUUGGCAUUAAUUUGGCUGUUGUACUUUGCCUUGUGCUUCGCAUCACUAAACAUCUUAACUAUUACGCCCUAUCUUGAGUUCCAUAGUCUUCAUACUAUACAUGACAACAUAGACUCCUGGGACAAAUUGCCUAGAUGGUUAAAAGCCCUUAUAUGUAGAACAGUAGUUUUUUUUAAAAAUUAGUAUCAUAAUAUGAACAAGCUGUUUAAAAGUUUUGAGCGUUGAAAAGAUUUUUUCCCAUUUGUUGCAGGUGGUAGUGAAUUUGGUGGCCCUCUCUCCAGAGGGUUCUAUCAUGAUUACUGUAGAAACCAGGCUUGCUGAAGAAGGAAUAGGAGGUCUUGUAUGUCUGAAGUUCUGGUCAUGCAGCUCUUCGAAUAAAGACUUCAGCUUAUCCACUGUUGUCUAUGAGCCCCACAGGUUCUCUCUUGUCUAAUUCUUGGAGCUUCUUGUGCUCUAAUAAACUGGGCAGUACUUUUCUCCUGUAAAAUCUACCUAUAGUCCAGGUUCCUUUGAAUUGACUUUCAAGCUCUGCUGUGUUUGCAGAGAUUCUGGUAUUUCAUCCAUCACUUUCCAUCCUUCGCGUAACAUAGCUGUUAGUACUUCAUGGGGUGCUGAUUUCAAGGUAAGCAGAUGGGUUCAAGUGACUUGCUAAAUUACCCAUUCUUAAAUAACAGUUUGUCAUUUGGUAGGUUUGGGUAGGCAGUCAGGAGAUGCAACAAAAGGAGCGGAUGCAAAAUGCUGGAUGGACAUGCCAUUCUGUUGGUUCUUACAAGUAUGUUUGCCUUAAUUUUUCGUUAUAGAGAAUAAGGGUGGGCAUCGGUUGGUUCGGUUUGGUUAUGAAUAUUAUAGGUUUACAUAUCGGUUAUCGGUUUACAAAUAUGAUAAAGCGAUAACCAAAUCGAUAAGAUAUUGAUCGGUUAAUCGGUUAUCGAUCAUUAUCGGUUCGGUUAUCGGUUUAUCCGAUAAGAUAAUAAAGCUAAAACAGUUUUAUUAACAGCUUUCUAUCGGUAUAAAACUGUUUUGCAAUAUUUCACCGAGCUAAAACAAUUUUAUAAAACAGUUUUUUUGCAAGCUAAAACAGUUUUAUAAAACAACUUAUUUGUAAUUGAGAAAGGUAUAAAGACAAGUUGUUUAGCAACUAAUAGUUCUACACCAGAAUACUACAACAACAACAACCCAGUAUAAUCCCACUUAGUGGGGUCUGGGGAGGGUAGUAUGUACNNNNNNNNNNNNNNNNNNNNNNNNNNNNNNNNNNNNNNNNNNNNNNNNNNNNNNNNNNNNNNNNNNNNNNNNNNNNNNNNNNNNNNNNNNNNNNNNNNNNNNNNNNNNNNNUAGAGAGGCUGUUUCCAAAUAGACCCCCGGCAUCCUUCCCUCCAAGAACUUCCCACCUUGCUCUUGGGGAUACUCGAACUCACAACCUCUAGGUUGGAAGUGGAGGUUGCUUACCAUCAGAGCAACCCCUCUUGUCUGAGUCUGCAACAUAAAACAAUAGAAACAUUUAACUAGUAGUUCAAGCAGUGAGUUCAAUUCUUAAAGCUGAUUCUACUUUCUCUCUGAUUUCAUUCUUAAAUCUGAUUUAUCUUUAAAUGAGGUACUUUAUGCUAAUAAUUUGACACCAACAAAUAGUACAAAAACUACGAAGAAAAAAAAGUAACAGAACAGCACAGUUAAGAGUAUAGGAAAAAGCUGGAGAUAAAAACUAUGCAGAACUACAAUCAGACCUCAAGUCAUUUUAGCAAAACAUAUAAUUGCAUAAAACAGAUAAAUAAAUGAUUCCCACAAAAAUCUAAUAGUGAAUGAAUCAACACAAUUGUGAAGUGAACCAACAGGCAAAAAUAAAAAGAGCAUAACCCAAUAGUGAAGUGAAUCAAUGCAAUAGUGAAGUGAAUCAAUGGGCAAAAAUAAACAAUUCCCUCAAAAAUCAACUGAAGACGAAGAUGAAGGCAAGUAGGCAACCGAAGAUGAAGAUGAAGCUGAAGAAUGUGGCUGAAGAAUGAAGUGAAGAGGGUGAAGUCUGAACUCUGAAGAAUGCGGCUGAGGCUGAGAAGGGAUAGGGAAAGAAUGAAGCCCUAGUAUGUAUAUAAUUAAGGGUAAAGUAGUAAAUUCGUUUAUCCUUAAUGGGUUAUCGGUUAACCCAAUAACAUAAUUGCAAAACCGAGCCCGAACCGAUAAACCAAUAAUGAAAAAAUAUUAAUCCGUUACCUAACCGUUAACCCAAUAAUCCAAUAUCGAUAACCCAAUAAAUAAUUAACGGUUCGGAUUAUCGGUUUUAUCCGAUAUAUGCCCACCCCUAAUAGAGAAGUUGAAUUGUUGGUUUUAUUCUAUUAUGUUUACUGUAGAAUGUCUAAGAAAAAUGACUACAACGAGAUAAAAAAUGACCAUGUAGAAAAAUCCGAAACUGUUUAAGAAAAGAGAUUCAAGAUGAAAAUAUCUCUUUCUUUGUGGUUCAUUCAGUAUCAUCUCAUUUGUACAUGAGAGAUGGUUACUUAGCACCCCAGCGAUCAACUUUAUGGGAACCUUCGCAGUGCGUGUCAAACUGAAUAAUUUUUGUGUGAAUUCGGAAAUAGAGUUUUCAAUUUUCUGAAAUAAUUUACAUAUUUAGAAAUCACAUAUGAUUUAUGGCUGCUUGUUUGUACUCUGCCAAUGUUAAUGACUACAACGUAAUGAAUCGAUAAAACCUCUAUUUUCUUGUUUGACAUGAUUUUCUCCCCUUAGAAAAAAGCCAAUGACUGCUGCUGCCUUUUCUGGAGAUGGUUCUGUGCUGGCUGUAGCUGCAGAACGAGUUAUUACAUUGUGGGAUCCAGAGAAGAAUAUUCUUGUGGCGACAGUUGGGGAGAGUAUUGAGGUAAGUUGUUGACAUGCCAGUAUCAAUUUUACUCUUUUGACCUAUCAGAAAAUAUCAAUGUGACACUUCUGAGUUCAAGAUUUAAAUUAUUUGCUUUGGUGAAAGAAAGCUUUUUACCUAGUAUUUGAAUCCUUUUUACCUCAAGUUGUUCUUUAUGACUCAAUUCUGAGUUACUGCCCAGAAAGUUCCAUGGCAGAUUUGAUGCUCUUCUUGUGGUACUUUGUACGCCUCUAUUAUUCGUUCCAUAAUAUUUAUAUGUACAAUAUUUUCUCAUUUAAACUAUUUUCUUUGUGCAGCCAAUCUCUUCCUUAGCAUUUAUUGGGAAGUCAGAGUAUAUUGUAACCACAUCACAAGGUUCUAAAGCACAAGUAUCAGUUUGGAGCAUGUCAAAGCUGUCAGUAGUAUGGUCUUACAAGCUUAAAAUAGAAGGUUUGUAUAUCUCUUGUUUCUCAUGCUUUGGCAGUUUAUGAUAAUUCGUAAUCCCCUUUUUAGAAGGUAAUGUUUCUAGUAUAUCCAUAACGUCAUCAGCAGAGUGUAUGCUGGAAACCAAAAUAGGAGUGUUACAUCAAAAGAAACAAAAAUACAGUCCUUGUUCUUCUUACAAGGAGCUUAAAACAUCUAGAAUUGAAACAUCAUAAUACACCAAACACAAAAAAGCAUAAUACACUUCAUCUUCAUUUUCUGGAGAGGGUUUCCUAUAUCGUCAAAACAUUUCGAGUUCCUUUCCUUCCAAACUGUCCUCAAAUAGUCGAUGGCUAAUGUCUCAGCAACCCAGAUAGAAUUGGUAUACCCCUCUUCCUUAGGUCUCCUGAGCAAGGAUAGCUUCCCUAACCACCAACUAAGAAAAGUAUGCCAUUUGUAAGGGACACUUACUUUGUAGUUUUGCUCCCAAGGCCAUAAACUAAGUUGAGGACCCUCCUGGUUCAAAUCUUUAUAUGCUGAGCUGACUGAGUUAAUACCACUACUAUGUUUCUACCAUCUGAGCGUAUCUUCACCUUCCUGUAGUCCUUUGCCUUGUUCUAAAUGUUAUAAAACUCAAUUAUUCUGGGCACCUCCCAGUCUUGUAGGGGUCCCAUGAAAGUCAGGUUCCAACCUUGUGUAGACCAAAGUUCAUUCAAAUUUCAAAGUAACCCCCUGUUAUUGGUUCAAAUUAUAGAUGUCAGGAUAUAGUUGUUUUAAGCUUCCGGCACCCUACAAGUUGUCCGCUCAUAAUUGUGUUUUCCUUUCAUCUUCCACAUUAAGACUCAAUUUAUCCUUCAGGCUUGGCCACAUUCCUUUUGGAUCUCCUGAGACGGACUCCAUAAGUAGUGUUAACCCCUCUAGUCAUCCAAAAAUUUACCUUGCCAUAUUUUACCCUAGUCACACUGCCCAUAGUGCUUGCUCCUCCUUUGGAAACCUCCACAGCCACUUCAUCAAGAGGCAUUUUUUUUAAAUUAGUAAGAGGCUUUUGUUAUGCUUUCUUAGAUUCCCGACUUCCGACCCCCUUUUUGCUGCUAAUAGUAAGGGUCUUCCAUUUAACUAAAUGGAUCGCUUUCUUCUCUUUCUUUCCUUGCCUUCUAGCCUCUUUUCUACACUUGCUGGUAAGGGAAAUAAAGACAUCAUGUAGGUAGGAAAAACUGAGUUAAUAAUAUCAAUCUACCUCCCAGAGAUACAUAAUUUGCAUUCCAUCUUGCAAGUUUAUUUUACCACCUCUUUAAAACGUCAUUCCAAAUAUCUUGAGGCUUAUCAUUUACUUCUAAGGUUCUGCUUCUAGUUCAUGAGAAAAAUAGACUUAAUUAAGGAUGGAGACAAUGGCUUCAGACAGUGUUAUAAAAAGCUACCGCUUCGUCAGUUAAAGCGCUGAAACAAUGCGAAGUGGAUUAUUGGUUCAAAAGUGGAGCCAUGCGCUUCCUAGAAGUGUGCACUUAAAUAAUUACACACAAAAUGAUCCUAUGGAGAAGAGGUCAGUCCUUCGAAUCUCAACUGGAGCAAUUGGAUUAAUAUUGGCACUAUUGUAUAUGAAUACUGAAAUUAGUUAUGUUAGGUGAUCAUUAUAGUACUAAAUUCAUGUAUGUUUAUAUUUUUAAACGUUGAACGUUGUGAAGUAUGCGCUUCAGAUAUUUGUUUUUGGAAACACUCACAUCAAAAUGUAAUCGUCAAUCAUAUUUCCACGUUUUUGAAGUUUGUUAACUUUUACUUCCAAUUAUACUAGGUUGGCUCUUGAAUUUGAAUCUUAUGCACAUGGAAUCUAAUAAUCUUCCUAAAAGUUAUCUGAAGCCAAGGGCUGCUGGACGUACUGAUUAGUUAGUUCUGUAGUCUAACACAUAUUAGAUUAUGCAUUGUGAUAUUCUUUAUAUAUCGUGGAGGGGUCAAAGUCCCAAACUUUGAUGACUAAUAUCUAGGUCAGGGGGUUAUAUUCAUCCAGGGAAGAUUUUGUUUGCUGUAGGCUCUCCUCAUAUCUCACUGCAGUUCUAUGAUAAGUAUUAAGAGUUGCAUGGUUUGGACUACAUCUAGUGUGCUAUUUCUUUUUUAAUGCCAAACUCAGACUGGACUUUUGGGGAAAUUUUAAGCUAUUUCGUGCUAAUGAAAUCAGUACCAAAAAUUUAAUUUGCUGCUUUGGAAUAAGAAAUCGGCAAGUGACCAAAAGAGACUCAGAAUCUAAGCUAAUGUUUCCAAAUUUUGCGCCUAGUACUCAAAACUAAAAGGUCCGAAGAAGUCUAGCAAUUAAUGAUAAACUUGUUGGCAGGGAGUUCUGUUUGCACAAUCCUUUAUAUUGUUAUGUAAUGUAUCAGACAUUACCUUAAUUCAUUUGUCAAUGUCUCAUCCAACUAGUACUUACUGAUUGCUGCAGCUGUAACUUGUGCGAUCGAUGAUUCUUCAUUUGCCAUCCUGGCCCUUGGUCCAAAGUCAUUUGGAUCUACAGAUGGGGUGAUCUUAUUAUUCAAUGUUGGAGAUCUUGUUCCCGCAGCGAGCUGGCUUGUAAAAAAGGUAAUGAUUCCUCUCCUCAAUUUUGAGUUUGUUUUUCUGUUUUUCGAAGUUUUGAGUUGGGAACUUGAUGUUAGUGGUGGUGAAUCUUGAUCUUGUGAAGGCUGUUGAGAAAAUAAUUACCUUCUCCUGUCUUUGUUUUUCUCUAUCUUCAUUCUCUCGUGUUUCCUGCGCCUAGUGUACGGAUGUUUUCUGUUGCGAUCUGUAGAAUUUUUACGUCUCUUCUAUUUGCUGUCACCUUCACUCUUCAGAAGACGCCAUUUGCAGUUGUGUUGUGUGUAUUUUUCUGACACUGUUUCUUGCCUUUCUAAUUUAGUUCAGACAUUGGCGACAUAAUGCAUCUUCUAGUCUUUCUUCUAAGGCGGAAAUGCCAUCGAAAUGACAUCUAUAAAUGGGGUCAGAACUGGAUGUCUUUACUUUGUUUGCGUCUCAUUCUUUCUUUUUAUAGGCAAAAGGUGCUUCACUUGCUUUUAUUCGCGGAAGUCCUAAUUCGAAGGGUGGUGUUACUGAUGGCAAAUCAGCGCAGUUGCUGUUAGCUUACCUAAACAGUGAUCAUGAAUAUGCUCUUUUUGAUCCACUCAACAGUCACACCCACAUACAUAAGAUUAGCCGAGGAAGUUUCACUGAUCUUGAGGAAACAGGUGUGUACCAUUUUGUCUGCCUAAGUUCAUGUCUAAUAUGUCAAAAGCUUUUAUGCAUCUCAGUUUCUGGCCUUUAUUACUUUGGUGAUAUACAUGUGCCUUUUGAGGUUUUAUUUUAUGUGUGGCAAGUUGCUUCAGACUAGCUUGGGUUGAACCAGUACCAAAGUAAAUGAAAUAAAACCUUGUUCUUAGAAACUUUAAUGGGCACUACAAGCCUUAAAAUGAUAGUGCCCUGAGGCAAUGAUGUAUGAUUACUGCAUGAUGUCUUGUGAUUAGUGCUGACAAAAUGAGCCCAUAUUUUGUCAACUCGCCCAAUCUGCACAUAUUUUAAAAAAACUGAAUUUUUUUUUUCUUCAUUUUAUUUUUAAAAAAAAUAAAAAUACUUUCUUCUUGAAAAAAUUGAAAAAACGAAAUAAAAAGAAAUGCUAUAAAACUGAAUAAAAUAAAAUAAAAAAUUUUAAAAACGAAAUUUUUUUUGUUGAAAAUAUUUUUUCCAGUUUUUUAAAAAAUAAAAAUAUUUUAUUAACACACUUUUUUCUAUUUUUAUAAUUCUUUUCUAGUUUUUAAUAAAAAUGCUUUAAAAAUUUUUAAUCAGGUCCAAUAACAUGCUGCCACGUGUCUAUUAUAAACUUGUAAGUUACAUUUAACGGUUGAAGGAUAAAUUUGACCCAAAAGUAUAAUAACAGGGAUAUUUUUAAUAAGAAACUCAAAUGUUUCAUAAACCGAUAAAAUAAUCUAAACCAAGCUCUAGCACAAGGUAUAAAUGUUUCAUAUUCAGAAUAUUUUGGAGGUACUGAUAGCCCGGUCUAUAUUACUCUGCUUAAAAUAGACUGUAAUAAAUUUAAACAUAAGAAUAUUUGUCUAAACUAUCAAUUAUAAUUAAAUAUUUUUAUUAAUUAACGCUCCGCUAAUUGAAUCAUAUAAGGGUAGAUUCUGAAAAAUAGACAUGCUGCCGCGUGUCUAUUAUAAACUUGUAAAUUAUAUUUAACGGUUGAAGGGUAAAUUUGACCCAAAAGUGUAACAGCAGGCAUAUUUUUGAUAAGAAACUCAAACGGAGGAUAAAUAAGGCCUAUUUUUUAUAGUACAAGAGAAAAUUUGACCAUUAACCGUAAAUUUAAUAAUGAAGAGUAUAUAUUGUUCCAGUUAAGCUUAUGUCUAAAUAAUCUGAAAAUUUAAAAAUUGCACUUGAAAAUUACACUCAAGAAAAUAUGGAUUAACACCUCACAAAAAAUUCCCUCUCAAGAAAAUAUGGGUUAACUCAUAUUCAACCCGCCCAUUCGAGACCCAAUCUGUUUUUGACUCGCAUGAAAUAUGACUGUCAUGACUGAUGAAACAAUACGCUCAUCCUAUCUGCAGGAAAGUUUGGUUAUGCAUCUAUCUACGGGGACCUACCAGAAUUUAGCUUAGAGAAAAAACAAGCUCCAUUAAUCACAUCAGUUCCAUCAGAAAGGCAUUGGGAGACUCUAUUUAGUGGACCAUCUCACAAUCUUCCUCCUCUUACUAAAUUGUGUUCGCUAUUUCUUGAAUCAUUAUUGGAGAAGAGGAGUAGCGCAGUUAAGUGAUCGCCUGUAGUCCAGUUGAGCUUUGUUGAAAGGCAGAAUCGCUGGUGUAACCAAGGCCAUUGUCAUCAUUGGGAUUUAACCCAUUGUAGCUGAGAGAGCUGCCAUUCCUGCACAUAUCUUACUCUAGCUGGCAGCUCCAGGGUGUGAAUGGUGGAGUCCACUUAUUCUCAGGUCCAAGAAGCGAAUCAGCCGUUCCACAGAGCUGUCUGAGUUAAAGAAAAAAUGCCCGCAUUGAGUGGGUUUGAAAAUUUUGGUAGCAUGAGUCUAGUCUGGAUACUUAAUUUUUUUUACUAUGUAACUUAAUGAGCCUGCAAAGAUAGUAGGAAUGCCAAUACUGAAUAGAUGUGCGAAUUAUCUCUUGAGCAAAUGCUUCUUCGGUGUCAUGUUGUGCCUAGUAGAAUAGGAUUCUUUGUAACAUUGAUGGAGCGCACUAGACUCGCUGUUGCAACUGUUGAGCUUUUGGUGAACAUUUCAACCGCCUGACUUAUGAUGGCUUAUAAGUCGAUUCUCAGGCGAGGAGAUAGAAUGAGAUGAUCUGUCUUGUUUUUUGUUUCCAUUGAUGGUAGAUUCCAUGUGGAGUUGCACUUCUGGUACAUUUGGCAUGGAAUUAUCUGUCGUAUUUUAUGAAAGAUUAUUAUUUUCUUUUUAUCGUGUUUCGGUUUUGAUUGGUGUUCAAAAAUAGGGUGCAUGAAUCGUGAUAUUAACAUGAUGAAAGUUAUAGGGUAGAAAAAUAUUAGUAUUAUCGUUAUUGAUAAGUAUAAAAAAUAGGGUUCUAGUGAUGGUGUAUAUAAUACAGGAACGCUCAUUUUGAGCCGUAAAAUUUGAAAGCAUCCAAGUGUUUUUUUGUUGCUAAUAUCUAAGCGUUUGUUGAAAGAAGUAUUUUAUCUGUAAGAGCAGGAAUAAUUGUAAAGGAAACUCUUGCUGGGAUUAAGUUUUUCCUUUUGUAAGAAAAAAAAUUGAAAAAUAUUUCCUGCUACAUGGAAAUGGCGAUGACGCUAUUAUCGAAGUCAUUUUUUCCCAUGUAUUAAGGAGAUCAUUGUGUCAUGCCCAGUGUUGAUUCCUUGGUCUUUGUGGGAUAAAUUGAAAAGAACAAUAUUCAACUAACAUGUCAAAUUGUUACCUAGUAACUUGUGUGAGUAAGUGAUUCUGCGAUGGCAUCAAGUAUACAAUUAGUGCACCUCUCACCACUUCAAAAAUUGAACCCGUUAAAAUUUUUUAACAAAACAUAAUUAAAGAUAGUUAUAUAUAUUCCAUAGGUAUACAUGAGGUUCUUCAACAAAUUAAAUGCAUCCAUCGUGUUUAAUUAAGUUAAAAUUGUUAGAUCGGCAACUCCUAACAAGAGAGAGAAACAGCUAAAUAAAGGUUUAAUAAUACUAUUAUUCGUAGAGUAGAAAAGGAAACGUAAUUAAAAAGCUGAUUCUUAAGGAGGGUUUGAUGUCAAGUUAUCAGCCGUCUUACUAUCAAACAUGAGAGUUGCAGCUGCUGGUGGCUGAUGUUUAUCCAUAUCAUCAUCGUCGUCGUCAUAGACAGUAGUACUCUUUCCCCGAUCAGAAACUUCUUCAGCUUGUUUUACUGCUGCAAUAUUGCGUGCACUUGAGAAUAGGUCAACAGUUUGAGAUUCAGCAAUCUUACUGUCUUGUUGAUUUUGAAUAUUGCGAGCACUAGACAAGAGAUCCACAGGUUGAGAUUCAGCAAUCUUUCCUCCUUCAAGAGGGGUACCUGCUUUAUACCUUAUUCUCAAAGCAUCAUCUUCACUUAGUCUUGCUUGAGUUAUCCCGUGAGUAAUAUCAUCUUUGCUCUUUGCCAUUAUUUUAUAAUAUAUUUCUUCUCUAUUUUUCUUUAGGUAUAUUGGUGAUGCUCUCAGUUUAGUGAUAUAAGCACUGCAUGCAGCGGGGAUGUUUCUGUAAGAAAGGGAGACAAGUGUGAUCUAUUUGUGAAGACGUGGACUCUCUUUCUUGCUGCCUAGUAGAAGCAGCUUGCAAAGCAAUACAAAGGGUAUUUUACAUUUAGCUCUUCACGCUAACCUAUUAAUAAAUUGUUAUAACUCACAUUUGAGAACAACAUAAACAAAUUAAUGACAUUUUCCUCCUUUGGCGACAAUUUCUCUCACGCCUCACAAAUGAGUCAAACUUUUAUUAGCUUUCUAUAUUGAUAAUUUUUUGUCUUUGUUUUUGUUUUACUUCUAUUUUUUCUUUUAUUCUAUGUGUCGAAGUUCGAUUGGAAACAGCCUCUUUGCCCUUUCGGGUAGGAAUAAGGCUCGCCUACAUAUUAUCCUCCCCAGACCCCACCUGGUGGAAGUAUAUUGGGUAGUUGUUAUUGUUGUUGUUACUGACCUAACAUAUAUUGUGUCUAAAUUAAAGGUAUACAACAGUAUAAUUUUAUUAGUGGGAUCUGAAAAGGGUAGUGUGUAUGUAUACUUUACCCUUAUCCUAAGGUAGGAAGGUUGUUUUCAAUAAAUUCUCGACAUCCUUCUUCCAAAAACUCCCUAAGAUACUUACUAUCAGAACAACUUACCUUAUCGUCAAAUAAUUUAGAAUAUUUUUAUAAAUAUACUCAUGAGUAUUUUUCUUUCUUCUAAGUUUGUUAAAAUAUGAACAAGAACUCACAUUUAGCACUGCAAUUUUUAUAGUUUUUGAUCUAUUUUCUGAUGUGCAGCUUUUGAGGUACAAAUUACUGUCCUAUUUAUUUAUUUAUUUGUCUCAUGCAGUUUUUGGUGCUGUGUCUUUUAAAUUACCGGGCCUUUCCUGCUAUUUUUUUGGGGGAAACUCAAAAAUUGCUAGUGUUCAUUCAAAAAUAGCCACAGUUUGAAAAGUAAUUAAAAUUUAAUUAUUUUUCAUAUAAAAAUAAAUUUGAACAAAAUAAUUAUUUAAAAUUCAAAAAUAGUCCAGCAUAAUAUAUUAAAAGUUAUACAGGAGUUCCAGCAUAAGUAUACUGUACUUGGAGCAUAAUAUAAUGGAGUUACAUCAUAAGUAUACUGGACUUCCAGUAUAGUAUUCUGAAGUUCCAGUACAAUAUACCGGUCCAACAUAAUACGCUAGAAGUUCAUACAUAUAUGCUCCAAUCUCUAGUAUAUUAUGAUAGAAGUUCAUACACAAGUGCAUCGAUCUCUAGUAUAUUAUGCUGGAACUUUCCGUGUUUCAGGAAAAUAGUAAUUUUUUUUUAAUAUUUUGCAAACGUUAAUUUUUGAAUGAUCCGUCCGAAAAUUAGAUAGCCCGUGUCAUUUUUACGAUAUUUUUAGAUUCUUCAACUAGUAGAAUAGCCUAGGAGACACUUGUACUUGUUCCGGUUUGUCAUUCCGGUCCCUAUACUCCAUAAGGUUUCAUCCAAACACUUCAACUUAAUCAAAACAAGAUUUUUAAACCCUUCUAACCGUUGACCGAACUUAUGUGGCAUUAAUAUAGCUGAAGUGGACGAAGUGAGUGAUUUACACGCACAUUAGGUGCGUGAGCUGAUGAUUUUUCUUUAUUAAAAAAAUAAAAAUAAAUAAAAAAAUACUACAACUCCCCCUUUGUUCUGCCCCCGAGUCAAGCAAUCUACUAAUGAUUUUGAUGUAAGGAGCGGAACUCUUAGGGGAUCUGUAGAACUCUUAAGAUUGUUUGAUUAUUCAAACGAUAUAAAGAAACAAAGGGGCGGGGAACAAGCACAAACAGAAAUCGACGGGAAAAGGUUGAAAUUCGCUUUCCCUUUCCCUUUUUUUUCAUCUUUCUUCAUCCCUUUUUUCUAUUAGAUUUUCUCCUUAGCAUGUAUUUCUUCUUCCAUCAUGUCAUCUUUCCCUUCUCUAUGACUCCUCCACUUUUUUUGGUGAUUUUAGCUUUCAAAUGUUUUCACGGUCCUUCCAAAUUAGGGUAGAUGAAUAAGUCAAAAUUCAAAAGACUUAACUCGCUGCUCCUGUAUUUGUCAUGGAUAGAUAACUUUCUUUAAAAGAUGAGUGAAUAAAAUAGUGGUAGUCAUAAUGAAAGAGGUGGGUGGGUUUGAAGAAGGGAGGAGGGUUUUUCUUUAAUUUUUAUUUUAAUUUUUUUUAUUUUUAUUUUAUUUUUUAUUUUUGAAUUAAAAUUUUAUUAAAUAAUAUUAUUUUGGCAUGUGGAUGCUGAUUUGUCAUUCAGGUCAAGCAAGUGAACAUCACACCUCCGGAGGGGUUUAAAAAUCUUGUUUUGAUUAAAUCAAGUGUUUGAAUAAAACUUUAUGGAGUGUAGGAAUCGAAAUAACAAACCAGAAUAAAUAUAAGUAUCUCCUAAACUAUUCUGCCAAAAUUAUAUUAAAAAACACGCAAAAGAAAAAAAAAAGAAAUAUCUCGUGGAAAAGAAACCAAAAAGGAACUCCUAUCAUUAGUCCCACACACAUCUUUUGGAUAACCCUGGGAGGGAGUGGACAGACUCGACCCUCACCAGAUGGUAUCAACUGUUUAAGUCCUUUUUACUAAUAUAACUUCAAAAAAGAAAAACAGUUUUUCCUGGAGCUGAAUAUAGUUCGAUUAGAGGCAAGGAGAAGAGGAAGGUCUCGUUAUUCUAGGAAUCAAGAAUGCAAUAAACUCUCUAAAGUCCUAUUGUAUGUUCCUUUUGUGCUGUUUCCUUACGAUCCCAUAUCAUAUUUUUGGUUUUUAUGAUUCUUUUCUGGUGCAAUUGUUAACAUUCCUAAACUAGGCUUCAAUCAUUUUCUUGAUUUCAUGGCCGUCCCGUUAAAUUCAGUGUCCACAGUUACAAAUCAAUCACCUGAGAAUGCAAGAAAUUCUUGUGGAUUCUUCACCCACAUACCAAAGUUCCUUCCUUUUUUCCACUCUAAUAAGACCAUUUCAAGAAAUUUUGCUUCUUCCCAAAUAACCCCACCUCUAAAUAAUAUUUUCACUCUGCCCAACUGGAGGUCUGGCAAGAAUGACCAAAGAAACAAAGAACUCAGACUUUAUGAUGCCUUUCUAUAUUUAGAAUACAUGGUUAGGAAAGGCCACAAGCCUGAUAAGAUUCAUGCAACUCAACUAUUGUAUGAUCUUUGUAAUUGUAAUAAACUUAGAAAAGCUGCUAGAGUUAUGGAAAUGAUGGUUACCUCUGGUACUAUACCUGAUGCUGCUUCUUACACUUUCUUGGUAAAUAACUUGUGUAAGAGAGGAAAUGUUGGUCAUGCAAUGCAAUUGGUUGAUAAAAUGGAAGAAUAUGGAUACCCUACUAAUACUGUCACUUACAAUUCUCUUAUAAGAGGACUUUGUAUGCGAGGGAACUUGAACAAAAGCCUUCAAUUCGUCGAAAAAUUGAUGCAAAAGGUGUUGGUACCAAAUGCAUAUACCUACUCCAUAUUGCUUGAGGCUACUUAUAAAGAAAAAGGGGUUAAUGAAGCAAUGUUGCUUUUAGACAAUAUUAUUGCCAAGGGUGGGAAGCCUAAUUUGGUUAGUUAUAAUGUUCUCUUAACUGGGUUGUGUAAAGAAGGAAGAAUAGAUGAAGCAAAAGAGCUCUUUAGAAACUUGUUUGGUUAGUUACAAUGUUCUCUUAACUGGGUUGUGUAAAGAAGGAAGAAUAGAUGAAGCAAAAGAGUUCUUUAGAAACUUGCCAUCGAAAGGGUUUAAUCCUAAUGUUGUUAGCUGUAAUAUCUUGUUGAGGAGCUUGUGCUUUGAAGGACGUUGGGAGGAAGCAAAUGAGCUUCUAGCGGAGAUGGUUGGAGAAGAACGUUCACCAUCUAUAGUAACGUACAAUAUAUUGAUUAGUUCCCUUGCUCUUCACGGUCAAACAGAUCACUCCCUCAAGAUUCUGGACGAAAUGUACUUUGGAGAGCAGUUCAAGCCAAUUGCUGCUAGCUAUAACCCUAUAAUUGCGCGUCUCUGCAAAGACAGGAAAGUGGAUGCAGUAAUUAAGUGUCUCGACCAAAUGUUAGAACGGCAUUGUAGUCCUAACGAAGGAACAUACAAUUCCAUUGCAGUGCUUUGCGAGGAAGGAGUGGUGCACGAGGCCUUUUCUAUUCUCCAGGCUUUGAGGAUUAAGCAGAGCUCCUCCACUCAUGAUUUCUACAGAGCCGUGAUUUCUGGUCUGUGCAGGAAAGGAAACACAUUUGCAGCAUUUCAGCUUUUGUAUGAAAUGACAGCCCAUGGAUUCAAUCCCGACUCUUACACCUAUUCAUCGUUGAUCAGAGGAUUGUGCUUGGAGAAGAUGUUGGUUGCUGCUGUUGAUGUAUUUUAUGUCAUGGAGGAAAAUGGAUAUAGGCCUGAUGUUGACAAUUUCAAUGCACUUGUGCUUGGUCUAUGUUGUGUAGGAAAGGAAACACAUUUGCAGCGUUUCAGCUUUUGUAUGAAAUGACUGCCCAUGGAUUCAAUCCUGACUCUUACACCUAUUCAUCGUUGAUCAGAGGAUUGUGCUUGGAGAAGAUGUUGGUUGCUGCUGUUGAUGUAUUUUACAUCAUGGAAGAAAAUGGAUAUAGGCCUGAUGUUGACAAUUUCAAUGCACUUGUGCUUGGUCUAUGCAAAUCAAGAAGAACAGACUUGUCGCUAAAGGUAUUUGAGGACAUGAUCAGCAAAGGUUAUAUGCCCAAUGAGAUAACAUAUACCAUUCUAGUGGAAGGGAUCAUACAUGAAGAACACAAGGAGCUUGCAUCAUUAGUCCUCAAGGAAUUGCAUCUUAGACAAGUAAUAAGUAGAAAUACUGUUGAAAGACUUGUUAUGCAAUAUGAGCUCGAACUUGAGGAUAUAUUAGUACAGUGAAUUUUUCACAACAAUGGUUAAUAUUGGGUCACAGGAUGAGAAACUAAUAAAAGCUAUCUAUUCAUCAGCAAAUGCUAAUACACCAAAUCAACAAGAAGAUUCUCAUGUUGCCGGUCAGAUGGAGAACUUUAUACAACUAAUAACCACUUGAGAUACGAUAGUUGGUUCAUAAGAGGUCAGAUGAAACAUGUUCAUUACUGUAUUUUUACCUUAAGCUUACUCUUUGUUACUGAAAUGAAUGUUACAGAAAUGGCUGAAUAUCUCCUUUAUCUCAAGCUUUCUCACUAUUUUGUAUUAGAGUAUAAGUUCUAUAUACUAACAAUAUAAAAAAGUCACUUAAAAGGCAAUUGCAGGUAAUUCUCUAAGUAAUCAUUAAUUGAUAAUCUUAAAAAAAAAAAAAAAGGGAAGCAGUCUUUCAUAAAAGCUCAAAAUAAACCAAUAGUUUAUAAAGACCAUUUACAUUAUCAGUGCAUAACUGCAUAUAACUUAAAUCCUUUGUGCCAUUAUUGUAUAUACAGUAUCUUUUGUAUUAAGUGUAACCUUGCAGCUUCUUUCCCCUGGUUAUAUUGUACUACUUAGUUUUAUACAGAAAUAGUAGCAACACUGAAAUUCUUUUUGCUACAGUGUCAUUCUUAAUUUUUCUAAAGUUCAGCAUCAUGGUUUAGAUCAUGGUACAGUUCCAAUUUAGUCUCAGUCUCUUAAUUAGCAGUUUCUAUGAGGAAAGAGGCAAGCCUAGAUAAUACACCACGAAUGACAUCCUUGGACUAACCAUUCUUUUCUUGAUGAGGUUAAUUUUUUUUUAAAAAAAACAGUAGGAGAAUGUUGAGCAUGAGAAAAUUGUUGCUGGCCAAGGUGUAAUCUCUAGCAUAGCUACAAGUUACUGUCACGCUAUUUUUUCCACAAAUGUGAAAACUUUUUAACAUAUUUUGUAAAUUCUACAGCCGCUAUGUUGGUGACUAUUUUUGAGACAUGGUCUGAAAAAUGUAAUCUAUUUUUAUGAGCAGGAAAAGGAAAUAAAUGAUAUGACUCCCAAGUCUUUGGGCGGUUCAACUCAUCAUGAAUAUGAAAAUACUUAGACACUGAUUUUUAGUGGCUAUUAUUAACCGUUUCCCCAUAGUUUCAUGUGCUACUUCCAUUGAAUGCAAGGCAAGACAGCUACUUUACCUUUCAAAUAGCCGUCAGCAGAUUCUUGUACAUGGAUACAAAGGGGUUGAUGCCAAUCCAUUCGGUUUUGGGCACCCAGAAAUGCCAGAGCUUGCUGCUUAUAUUCAGUUUGAAUAUUAUUUGGAAAUUGUUCCUAAUAUAAUCUUAUUUUCAUACCUUAAUUAUCGUUGGUCAAGUCUUUGUUUCCUAAAAUCAAGAAAGUUUAAGACAGCUAAAUGGAGAGUUUUGCUAGCAACUCAACUUUGCACUCGUAGGCAGGGGCUAUGUGAGUUCAUCCAAAUCCAAUAACUUUGUAAAACCUUGUACACAUGUUAAUAGAUUUAGUAAAUAAGUAAUAUAAUAAAUUUCAAACCCAAUAAACUAAACGAGCUGUGAUAUAAUCCCGAACUCAACCCAUAAAGCUCAAAUUUUGCUGUUAAGUUUCCUACUAUGAUUUUGAAUGCAAAAACACUGCCACAAACGUACGUUUAUACUCUCCUAAUGUCUCUUACCGUAGUUGGACACUUCCCACCUUCCCCUAGGCAUCUAACACCAGCUUUUGGAUGGGACUUCCCCUAUGAGUCUCCAUUUUCAAUUCCACCAUUGUACGCUCCACUAUGUUAUACUCUUAAACCAUGCAUUGAUUUCCGGCUCAAAACUUGCAACUCAGCAUAUCGAUUCGACAUGUAUUUGUUUAAUUUUUCUUUUCAUCUUGGCAUUUGGAAGUUCUACUCUAAUGUUACUUCCUCCAUUUCAAAAUAAAUAAUUUUUGAUAUUUUUCUUGCAAUCCAAAAUAAAUAAUUUUUGUAAAUUAAUUAUUUUUUUCCUACAUUAUCCUUGGAGUAAAUAGUAUUAGAAUAUGUGUUAGAAAUAUUUAUGUGAGAUUGUAAAUAUUAAUAUUAUCAAUUUUAUUGCUAUUUAAUAUUAAAAAGUGAAUUUCUUAAUUUAUGUAAAAAAAUCACUAACUUUGAACCGGAGGUAGAGUACUAAACUUCUUUUUUGUUCUUGUAAAUAUGCAAUGACAGUUAUUACAGAUGAAAGUACAUUUAAGUGGUGUGGUACACUCGUUUUAACUAUUUUCAUCAUGACCUACGAUAUGAUUCAACAAUCAGUGGAGUAGUAUUUUGCGCAGUCUUGAUCCCAAGACUCUAUACCUUUUUCAUGCUUUCAUAUUUUUGAACACCAAGCAAGCAUGAGCUAGACUCAGUCCCUGCCAGUGUUUCACAUCAGCCGUGCAUCUUGAGGCUUCGCCUCAUGUUUAACCCUAGCAACUCUCACCAGAAACAGAUGACAGUUCAUCUCAAGAACAUCACUCGGAGCAUAACAUUUAGUCAAACUAUAAUCAAAUGAGAUGCAACCCAGGCAAACAGAAAUCCUCUCAAGAAAGUCAGCUUAAAAGAGAAUAGGUUCGGGAUAAUCUUCCAUAUAUCUUAGGUGGACAAAACUAGCAAGUUGCCCAAAAACACAAAUCAACAUCCUUACAAGUAAUAGAAGAACUAAACUAAGCUCCUUCAUAGAACAUAGUAGAUUAAUUAAUGCAGCUUCAAACAACAGACAAUCUCUGGAGCUGCAAGAGAGAUGGACAGCAAGAGGACAAGGGCAGCAGAUUCACCCAAGAAUGCAUCCUAGGCAUCUAGAACCCUGGUCUACUUAGAUCUCUGUCUCAUCUUUCUGCGCUUCCUCUUCAGUCUCCUCAUACGCUUCUUCUUCCACUGCAUUUAAAAAAGAAAUAUUAAAGGCUGCCAUAUGGUAAGCAACCCCCACUUCCAACCGAGAGAUUGUGAGUUCGAGUCUCCCCAAGAGCAAAGGUGGAAAGUUCUUGGAGCGGAGGAUGCCGGGGGUCUAUUUGGAAACAGCCUCUCUACCCCAGGGUAGGGGUAAGGUCUCCGUACAUACUANNNNNNNUCUAUUUGGAAACAGCCUCUCUACCCCAGGGUAGGGGUAAGGUCUGCGUACAUACUACCCUCCCCAGACCCCACUAAGUAGGAUUAUACUGGGUUGUACUUUUUUAAAGGCUGCCAUAGUUACAGUUAUAAGAGAGAACAAAAAUCUUAGCAAACUCCCUUCAGGUACACUUAAUUGUUAUCUAAAGAGGGUUAAAAAAACCAUUCUCUCAGCUUUCCUCUUGAUCUCUUUGGCUACAUUCUCAAUACAACUCUGAAUCCAGAUCUCUACUCCAUUCCAGGGCCUCACACUAAAUCAGUACAUUCUUAUAUUUUUUUCCCAUAUAAAGCCCAUUAAAUACUUCUUUUAUGGCAAAAUCAGGACUUCAGAAUGUUUCUUUACCCCAACAAAAGAUCACAAAAGGCACAGCACACAUCAAAUAAGCUCUAGUUUGUGCACGAAAAAAUAGUAGUCUGUCUAAACAAAAUACAUGUUCAUGACAGAGAGUCCACCACACAAAAGAGUACUUUUUUUAUAACCAUGGUAUCAAGGCAGCUUACGCACCUCAACUACCUCCCACUCCCACCAGGACAGGUACCAAGUACCAUUAUCCACCACGGCUUGGACAAAUAAGAAAUCACCUAAUGUUUUUGCCCCUGCUACAUUGACCACUAGCGCGCACACACUCGCCACCCAUAUAAAUGCCAUCGUAAUGUCACUAAAACACAAAGUUUAUUAAAAAGCACUGAUUUAAAUAGUCAGUCUAAUUUUGUUCCUCUUCCCAUCGCAAUCUACUACACCAUCAUAUUAAAAGAUAAGUGUAUCUCAUAUCAUACUCAGUUAGACUAGAAAAAUCCCUUCUACCAUUCCAACUGCCCUUAAUGUCAUUUGAAUAGAAAAUUUUCGCCUAUGGACCCUUCUACCAUUCUCUCUGGACACUCUUGUCUUGCGCUAGAAGGAGCAAAUGAUGGAGAUGGCUGGGAGGGUAGAGAUCUGCGAAAAGGCAAUGUGGGCGCAAUCUUGGGAAUGGCGCAGAUAUAGGCUGACUGACAGGGUUAGGCAUGUGAAACAAGAAUCAGAAAGCUGAUCGAAUGAUGCAGGUGAGAAAACAAAGAGACGACUGAUGGAGAAACUAUGGGAUUUCACAUGCUGGAGAAACCAGUCCCAGCAAUUAUUUUCUCAAAGUAGGACACAAGUAUUCCAAGUUUCUAACUAAUGGGGCUUCCUAUGACUUUCUCAAUUUGCUAUUGAGGUUGGUGCAGGGAGAGUGGAUUUGCUUAUAUAGCCGUUGGAUGUCAACAAACUCCAGUAAAAAUCUGAAGCAAUCAUAACAUUGCAGAGCCAAAAAAAAAUAGAGAAGACACUGAAGAGGGCCUUCCAGGGCUCCAAUUAGAAUCAGCAAGCUGUAGAGAAGUCAAAAGGGCAGUGUUUUCCAAAUUAAAACUUGCUGAAGUAAACAAUUUUUUUCUCCUGGCUUAUAUAGCUAACAACAACUAUGUCUCCAUGCCAAACAAGAUGGGGUCAGCUGUAUGAAUACAUAUAUAGCAUAGUGCAGAAAUUCCCCAGAUAUAUGGUUUUCUAUGACAUGAAGUUGGUGAGGAUGGCAUAAUCCUGUUUCUUAUAUAUUAGCAUGCUAAACAUAAUAUCUAAGUAAGGUAAUUUCUCUCUGCGUAGGAGUACAUUCAUGAUUCCAUUGACCACCUUAUAAAGAAAGAGAAAUCAUAUUUUCUUUCAGGGGGGCACAGAAUCAAAUAAUGAGUUCAAAAGUGGCUCAAGGAAAGUAUGAUGGGUUAGAAGUAGGUCAAGUAUUAAGUCUUAUAUCCUGUUCAAAAUAUAACAGGCAACGAAAGCAACAGACCCUUUAAUCCAUCGCAGUAACACAAAUGCAGAACAUUACCAUCAUACAUCAAUUGCAAGUUUAAACUAAAACAUGAAUUCAAACACG